UUCAUGGAAAGGAUUAACAAUGUGUGUUACUGUAUGUGGGUGUGAUUCAUGAAGGGGCUGAAAGGUGCUCCAUGGAAGCUGGUUCAGUCUCUGUGUACUUUGCACAGCAUCAGUCAUUCAGCACUUUGAGCCAAGCAGCUGCUGAAUGUCAGACUCUGUGGUAGACCUGGAGUUUAGCUGAUGUAUUCCUAAGGAUGAAGCUGGGGACAAAAUUCUGACCUGACAUCACCACUUGUGCUUUAGUGGAUUUAAUUCUGCAGGCAAGUGAUCUGCUCUAUGUAAAUAGCUGAUGCUGGGUGUCCUAAACCAAAUUGGAACAAUUCCUGCCGAACGUGAGCAGUGGACUUGCUGUCUGUAUUUGUGUAUAAAUGCUUUUGCAUCAUGUUCAUGAGUCAUGAAUGGCCACAGAUUUUCCUCUUUUCCAGAAGGUUCUGCCACAGAAAAACAACUACAUUUUAUUUCUCAGGUACAAUGAGCUUGCUCGCUGCUCUCUGGUAUCUUAUUAAUGAGUUAUGUCUGAAAA
Molecule: long non-coding RNA, 523 nt
Organism: Passer domesticus (house sparrow)
Lineage: Eukaryota; Metazoa; Chordata; Aves; Passeriformes; Passeridae
Exons: 3
Source: RefSeq, a predicted model, not a curated record